This 539-nucleotide ribosomal RNA is filed under the name uncultured bacterium. Its description in RNAcentral is "bacterial SSU rRNA". It matches the Rfam family "Bacterial small subunit ribosomal RNA", at positions 356 to 896 of the family's 1533-position model. The record is from RNAcentral.
GAGGAAUAUUGGUCAAUGGACGGAAGUCUGAACCAGCCAAGUAGCGUGCAGGAUGACGGCCCUAUGGGUUGUAAACUGCUUUUGUAUGGGGAUAAAGUUAGGGACGUGUCCCUAUUUGCAGGUACCAUACGAAUAAGGACCGGCUAAUUCCGUGCCAGCAGCCGCGGUAAUACGGAAGGUCCAAGCGUUAUCCGGAUUUAUUGGGUUUAAAGGGAGCGUAGGCUGGAGAUUAAGUGUGUUGUGAAAUGUAGACGCUCAACGUCUGAAUUGCAGCGCAUACUGGUUUCCUUGAGUACGCACAACGUUGGCGGAAUUCGUCGUGUAGCGGUGAAAUGCUUAGAUAUGACGAAGAACUCCGAUUGCGAAGGCAGCUGACGGGAGCGCAACUGACGCUUAAGCUCGAAGGUGCGGGUAUCAAACAGGAUUAGAUACCCUGGUAGUCCGCACAGUAAACGAUGGAUGCCCGCUGUUGGUACCUGGUAUCAGCGGCUAAGCGAAAGCAUUAAGCAUCCCACCUGGGGAGUACGCCGGCAACGGUG